Long non-coding RNA from Musca domestica (house fly), 739 nucleotides. RefSeq lists it as uncharacterized. The record is from RefSeq and is a predicted model, not a curated record. NCBI's taxonomy places the organism in Eukaryota, Metazoa, Arthropoda, Insecta, Diptera, Muscidae. The transcript has 2 exons.
UUAGUGAUAAACUGUGAUUUACUCCACUUUUGAAUACGUCAUAUAAGUGGUAUUGGAAAACCCUUUUGAAUUUUGAUGAUUUUUAAACCAAAUACUAAGAAAGUCUAAUUAGCAGGUAUAAAUAAUACACAAAUUUUCCAUAAUUAAAAACUUAAGCACACUAGCAGAUGUUAAUAUGGUUUGGUACUAGGUAAAGAAAUGUUCUAAAACUACCUGUAUAAGAACCUUUAGUAUCACAUAAAUAAGGAUGUGGUAAAGACAGACUUCAUCACUUCCAGUAACCACUUCUUGCAGUCAUCAUCGUCAAAGAUUCAUCAUCAUGUCUUUCUUUAUUGCAAAAUUUCUACAAUUAAAACAACUGACAAAAGAUCAACAGGACCCAAAGCUUCAUAGUAAACAAAACUAUGUAAAUUUUAAAGCAAAUAAUGUUGCGGUUAAAUACAAUAAAGAAAACACUUCACCACCCAUCUCCUUUGGUACUUCGGGUCAAAAGUUUGACACAUUAAAAACAUAUCCAACCAUUCUAACACACAUCGGUGGUGCUGGUAGAGAAUAAAAUUGUGAUCUAUUAACAUAUUUUUUAAAAAAUAUAUUUUUUUAAAUACAUUUAAGUACAAAUUGUGACGAUAUGAAAGCCUAUAAUGCCCUUCUUUAAACUAUUUUCUUUUACUUUUAAUUUUCAUUAGUAUUAUGGAUUUUUUAAUAAAUAAAAAUAUUUACUAAUUUUUUAAUAUACAAA